UGGCCGAUUAGCUCAACUGAAUAGAGCAUCUGACUACGGAUCAGAAGGUUGCAGGUUUGAAUCCUGCAUCGGUCACUAU
RNAcentral lists this transfer RNA (79 nucleotides) under Porphyromonas endodontalis ATCC 35406. RNAcentral's name for it is "tRNA-Arg". It matches the Rfam family "tRNA". From Rfam's summary of the family: Transfer RNA (tRNA) molecules are approximately 80 nucleotides in length. Their secondary structure includes four short double-helical elements and three loops (D, anti-codon, and T loops). Lineage: Bacteria; Pseudomonadati; Bacteroidota; Bacteroidia; Bacteroidales; Porphyromonadaceae. The record is from RNAcentral.